CACAGUUCCUGAAUCAUUUGUCUUCCUUGAUUUGUGCCCUUGAUUUGCCCUUGAUACACCAGUAUUCUCUCAAGAAAUACUGGCUUCCCUUCCAUGGUUAGCUCACUGGUCCACCAGUUCAGAGCUUCACUUUGAUGGGACUCUUGAUCAUAACCUUCUCAUUUCUUCCAGAGUCAAGAGGGACAGCGGACCAGUCACCAGGACACUUGCAGUGACACAUCAGGAUGGAUUGUGGGGAAGAUAUCAUCCAGCAGUCUUAGAAAAGCCCCAUUCUUUUUCCUUUUGGCCUCUGAUCCUGGCAACUUUAGAAGAGUGGAGUGACAUUCUCUGACCAAGUUAGACCACAGACAGGCAAUAUGUCAAGCUCGUCUGAGGAAAAUUCCAGUUUGUCAUGGAAAAAAAAAAUGUUCAUUUUCUUUGAGAUUCAAUGAAUUAAGUAAAAGCCCACUUCUUUCCUUCUGGUUCACAAAUGUGGCAUCUGAUCUAAAUAGAAC
RNAcentral lists this long non-coding RNA (494 nucleotides) under Equus caballus (horse). RNAcentral describes it as "lncRNA (ENSECAG00000059844.1)". The record is from RNAcentral. Lineage: Eukaryota; Metazoa; Chordata; Mammalia; Perissodactyla; Equidae.